GGGUGCAAAUGAGUUGAACUGUUCGUGAGUUAUUCGAGUUCGAUUUGAGUCUAAGUUUGAUUAGAUUUGAUUAUAAUCAAGCUUGAGUAGCUUGAAUGAUUGCUUGAGUAGAAAAAUAUGUGACUCAAAAAUUAUAUAUUUUUAAUCAUAUUCUUUUUAUUUAUAAUAUCUAUUUAUAUAUAUAUAUAUGAUAUUAAUAGGCAAAAUUUCGAACAUGAGUGCGAGUAUGUUUGGUUAAUAUUUAAAUCAAGUCAAUUUUGAGUAUUUCUGUUUUUCAUUAGCUAAACUCGAACUUCUAGCUAUUUGAUUAGGCUGGAUUCGAUUGCAUCCCUGUAAAGAAUUCAACCUAAUCAAAUGUGCAAUCUGCAACACCUGGCAACCCCAGCUUCAUAGUGAUGUCUAUGAUGUAGCAAUUUUUAAGGCCACAGUGGCUAUUCUUAGGCAUUUUGGAGAUAUUUUGGUGAUUGAUGCUGGUGGAUGCAUUCACACUAGGGCUUUGUGGUAGUUGUAAUUCACUUACCAACAAUUAAACAUGCCCUAUGAAGCAAAUAAAUAAACUAACUCUUGGCAAGGAGCUAGAUUUUUCUGUAUUAGCGAUAGGAGAACCACAUCUCAACUACUCCUUCCUCUUGGAUCAGCCACACGCAUUGCCCCGUUCUAUUGAAUCAGCAACAUCUGCCGCCUUCCAAUCUGAAACUCUACAACCUUCAAUCCAAAGGGAUCCAAGUGCUCCAGGAAAAUCUCUAUUUUCCGUUUUUUUGAUCUGAACUUUCCCAUCAAAAUGGACUUCCAAAGAUUAUGCACACCUUUUAACAUAGGGAGAUAGUUCUCGGGGAGAUCGGAAAGAUUAGAUAGACAAUUUAUGGGCUUCCAUGCGGACAUGAGCAGCUCACGUGGAUACAACAGCAUAUUUAGAAGAUCUCCAAAUACGGAUGAGAAUACCUUGGAGGAGGACCAAAUUCUAGAUUUUCUAAAAAUCUCUUUCUUUUGUACCAAGAAAAAAAGAAAUUUCUUUCCUCCGAUGAUUAAGGUUUUUUUUGGAAGAAUAUAUGUAGUGCAAGGUUUUUGGAGUAGUUCAUCUCCAAAUUUUCAACCUUAAAAUGUUUCAGUUUCUUUUUGAUAUUCUUGUGAAAACUUCUAAUAUACUUCUUGAGGCUAUCAUCAACGGAGACCUCUAAAGAGAUAGUACUCUUGCAGAAUAUGAAGGACAAUAGUAUAGUCUUGUGUAGAUUAUUCAUGCUUCUACCAAAGGUACUACUACCUAAUCUGUCAACUUUUCUCAUGGCCAAUUAGGUUAAAUAUUUUUGUGAUCAAGGCUUUAAAUUUUCCUCCAUAUUAGGUCAAAAACAUCAUUGUUUAUCAUGUAGGAAUUUCACUAGUAAGGACAAAAUUAAAAAGUUUCAAAUAGAUGAUAGCUACCUUUUGCAUGCUCAUGAAAAUAAGUUUCCAACUGAUCAAGCCAAUUGUCCAGUUCUCCAUGUAAAUAGAUCUAUCAUACACAUGU
Molecule: long non-coding RNA, 1504 nt
Filed under: Elaeis guineensis (African oil palm)
Lineage: Eukaryota; Viridiplantae; Streptophyta; Magnoliopsida; Arecales; Arecaceae
Description: long non-coding RNA (EGUI_LNC036149)
Source: RNAcentral